RNAcentral lists this ribosomal RNA (301 nucleotides) under uncultured bacterium. RNAcentral describes it as "partial 16S ribosomal RNA". It matches the Rfam family "Bacterial small subunit ribosomal RNA", at positions 509 to 807 of the family's 1533-position model. The record is from RNAcentral.
CAGUAGCCGCGGUAAUACAGAGGGUGCGAGCGUUAAUCGGAUUUACUGGGCGUAAAGCGUGCGUAGGCGGCUAAUUGAGUCGGAUGUGAAAUCCCCGAGCUUAACUUGGGAAUUGCAUUCGAUACUGGUUAGCUAGAGUGUGGGAGAGGAUGGUAGAAUUCCAGGUGUAGCGGUGAAAUGCGUAGAGAUUUGGAGGAAUACCGAUGGCGAAGGCAGCCAUCUGGCCUAACACUGACGCUGAGGUACGAAAGCAUGGGGAGCAAACAGGAUUAGAUACCCCCGUAGUCCCUGUCUCUUAUAC